Molecule: long non-coding RNA, 299 nt
Organism: Hordeum vulgare subsp. vulgare (domesticated barley)
Lineage: Eukaryota; Viridiplantae; Streptophyta; Magnoliopsida; Poales; Poaceae
Exons: 2
Source: RefSeq, a predicted model, not a curated record
AAUCCGGCAAUGGCAUUAGUAGACUGGUGCUAGAUAGCCUUAUUUACAUGUGGGACAUCACUGAAUACAUGGAGAAGUAAACCGAAGUCACAGUUAUGAAAAGGUACAAAUGAGACCAACACAUUCCAACAAAGCUACAAACCUGGUGUGGAAUCAAUGCAUUAUGAGGAACAGAGUAUGAAGAAGAUCGUCUAGACUAAACCCAGUGUCUUGUGAGAUUGCGGAAACCUCUUGUGAGGCCUUGCAUACAAACAUUGUUGUGAGUUCCAUGAGUUUGUAUUCCGAUUUCUUCUUUGGAA